AACUGAGCCUUGCUUUGCUUUGGGAAAACAUAAAGCAAAGCAAAGCUCAGUUGG
Molecule: microRNA precursor, 54 nt
Organism: Chlorocebus sabaeus (green monkey)
Lineage: Eukaryota; Metazoa; Chordata; Mammalia; Primates; Cercopithecidae
Source: Ensembl